AUUGAACGCUGGCGGCGUGCAUAACACAUUCAAGUCGAACGGUGACGGAGGCUUCGGCCUCCUGAUCAGUGGCGGACGGGUGAGUAACGCGUGAGCAAUCUACCUCUUGGUGAGGGAUAACGACCGGAAACAGUUGCUAAUACCUCAUGAAACGGCAGCAUCGCAUGGUGCAACCGUCAAAGAUUUAUUGCCAAGAGAUGAGCUUGCGUCUGAUUAGGUAGUUGGUGAGGUAACGGCUCACCAAGCCGGCGAUCGGUAGCCGGACUGAGAGGUUGAACGGCCACAUUGGAACUGAGAUACGGUCCAG
This 307-nucleotide ribosomal RNA is filed under the name uncultured bacterium. RNAcentral's name for it is "bacterial SSU rRNA". It matches the Rfam family "Bacterial small subunit ribosomal RNA", at positions 30 to 334 of the family's 1533-position model. The record is from RNAcentral.